This 293-nucleotide long non-coding RNA is filed under the name Equus asinus (donkey). RNAcentral's name for it is "lncRNA (ENSEASG00005035462.1)". The record is from RNAcentral. Lineage: Eukaryota; Metazoa; Chordata; Mammalia; Perissodactyla; Equidae.
GGCAGACUGGCGCUUCAGUUCACAGCACGGUCUCUUGCUGCUUCUAAUGAGGCUUCGUUAACAGAUGCACUGAUCAUUAAAUAUCGUUGGAACACUUUGCCACGAGUUGGUUGUUAAAUUGCUUGGCGGGUAGCACGCGAUGAGUGGCUCAGAGGAAGCCUGCGCGGUUUACGGGUUUGGCAGCUCGUAACUCCAGGCUCUCACCUUAUCCUCACACGCUAGUCUCCGUCACCUUGGAAACUGCCCUAUUCUAGAUGCAGAGCACAGAACGCCCCAGCUGACAUGGAAUUAAU